CUUCAAUCAGUUUGCUUUCCACCUGACUGAGGUCGGUACGUACGUUGGUGCAGUGGAGGAUGAACAGUUACUUUUUGGGAGUUUUGGGGACAUUUUUGGACGAGAGAAAAGCAUGUUUGGCAGGGAAGGAGCUCACACAUAUCUCCUUUUGUGAUUUCAGCACAGUGCAGGGGAAGCUGAGGUCCCCUUUAAGGCAGCCACCACUGGAACCUAAUAUCUAGUCCAGGAGUCAUAGAGAAUAAUAGUUAACGUUUGCUGUUCUGUGAAGUCUCCCAGAUGCCCUAAAUAUGUCAUGGCGGCACCACCACAUCUCCCCACGGGGCUGGUAUCCUUACCCAUGCUGCACCAGCGAGAGAACGCUCGCCUUCCCUCUCUUUUAACUUGCAGCUGAAGGCCUUUUAUUUCCCAAGGAGUAUUGCUCCACACAUAUGGUCAGGCCUUCUUGCCUUCUGCUUCUGAAUGAUGCAACUUAGGGACUUUGUGUACUCUGCAGAAAGGGAGGUUGCGGGGAGUUAAACAUGUUCCGUACGUCGCUCGCGUUGUGUAUGCAGUAGGGUUGUACGGUAUACCGUUACUAGUAUAGUAUCGCGGUACUAAUGAAUCAAAAACGGUACUAUACUCCGUUUGAAAAGCACCGGUUCCCGAGGAGGAUGAGGAACAUGUUCGGCAGCGCACAAUCACGGAGUACUUACAUGCAGACAGAAAAGUGAGAAUGGACGCAUUUUGGUGUAAAAACCAAAGAUAAAGGUGAACUUAUAACACUGAAACAUCCUCAGGAAGAGGUGCUUUAAGACAUGGCUAGCAGCUAACUUCCAUCCACAGUCGGCAGUGUUUUAACUACUUCUAAAUCACUAAUCCUGGCCUCCAUGGCGACGAAGUACGUUUCUUAUAAGUAGCAUUAUCACUGGAGGACGAGGAAUAGCUAAACAUGCUUCACUACACACCCUAGGAGGAUACAAUGGCUCACCGGCGUCACCGCUAUCAAAAACUAGCACGUCUUAAUGUAAACAAAUGCAAUGGGUGGAUUUACACCUGACAUCCACUGUAAUGAUAUCAAGUACAAGAGCGUAUCUAGUAGAUACUACUAUGAUUAGAUCGAUUUUUUUAUCACCACAAAAUCUUAUUUCCUUUUUUGAAAAUUCAUAAUAUGUUUAUAAACUCAGGAAAUAUGUCCCUGGACACAUGAGGACUUUGACUUUGACCAAUGCAUGAUCCUGUAACUACUUGGUAUCGGAUCGAUACCUAAAUGUGUGGAAUCAUCCAAAACUAAUGUAAAGUUUCCAAACUACAGAAGAAUAAGUGAUUAUUACAUUUUAACAGAAGUGUAGAUAGAACAAGUUAAAACAGAAAAUAAGCAGAUAUUAACAGUAAAUGAACAAGUAGAUUAAUAAAACAUUUUUACAGUUUGUCCCUCAUAAUGUAGACACAAUAAUAGAAUGAGUCUUUGUUUGGUUACUUACUACUACAAGACAAGUCGUCUAGUAUGUUCACUAUUUUAUUUAAGGACUAAAUUGUUCUUCGAUUGCAAUAAGAAACAUAUGUUUAAUGUACCCUAAGAGUUUUUGUUAAAAUAAAGCCAAUAAUG
Long non-coding RNA from Entelurus aequoreus (snake pipefish), 1585 nucleotides. RefSeq lists it as uncharacterized. NCBI's taxonomy places the organism in Eukaryota, Metazoa, Chordata, Actinopteri, Syngnathiformes, Syngnathidae. The record is from RefSeq and is a predicted model, not a curated record. The transcript is spliced from 5 exons.